UGCCAGCAGCCGCGGUAAUACGGAGGAUGCAAGCGUUAUCCGGAUUUAUUGGGUUUAAAGGGUGCGCAGGCGGAUUAGUAAGUCAGUGGUGAAAGCUCCCGGCUCAACCGGGAAAAUGCCAUUGAUACCGUUAAUCUUGAGUACAGUUGAGGUUGGCGGAAUGUAUCAUGUAGCGGUGAAAUGCAUAGAUAUGAUACAGAACACCGAUAGCGAAGGCAGCUUACCAAACUGUAACUGACGCUCAUGCACGAAAGCGUGGGGAGCAAACAGGAUUAGAUACCCUGGUAGUCCACGCUGUAAACUAUGAUCACUCGCUGUUGGCAAUACACUGUCAGCGGCUUAGCGAAAGUGUUAAGUGAUCCACCUGGGGAGUACGAUCGCAAGGUUGAAACUCAAAGGAAUUGACGGGGGCCCGCACAAGCGGAGGAGCAUGUGGUUUAAUUCGAUGAUACGCGAGGAACCUUACCUGGGCUUAAAUGCAGAACGACCUCCCGAGAAAUCGGGACUUCCUUCGGGACGGACUGCAAGGUGCUGCAUGGUUGUCGUCAGCUCGUGCCGUGAGGUGUCGGGUUAAGUCCCAUAACGAGCGCAACCCUUAUCCUUAGUUGCCAACAGGUAAUGCUGGGAACUCUAAGGAAACUGCCUACGCAAGUAGUGAGGAAGGUGGGGAUGACGUCAAAUCAGCACGGCCCUUAUGUCCAGGGCUACACACGUGCUACAAUGGUCGGUACAGAGGGCAGCUACCUGGCAACAGGAUGCUAAUCUCGAAAGCCGAUCUCAGUUCGGAAUGGAGUCUGCAACUCGACUCCAUGAAGUUG
This 818-nucleotide ribosomal RNA is filed under the name uncultured organism. RNAcentral describes it as "bacterial SSU rRNA". It matches the Rfam family "Bacterial small subunit ribosomal RNA", at positions 506 to 1328 of the family's 1533-position model. The record is from RNAcentral.